Non-coding RNA from Triticum urartu, 135 nucleotides. The record is from Rfam. Lineage: Eukaryota; Viridiplantae; Streptophyta; Magnoliopsida; Poales; Poaceae.
GUUCUACUCUCUCUGAUCCAAAAUUCUUGUUUUAGAUUUGUCUAAAUACGGAUAUAUCAAGUCACGUUUCAGUAUUAGAUACAUCCAUAUUCAGACAAAUCUAAGGCACGAAUUUUGGGACGGAGGGAGUAUAAU